Molecule: ribosomal RNA, 843 nt
Filed under: Listeria monocytogenes
Lineage: Bacteria; Bacillati; Bacillota; Bacilli; Caryophanales; Listeriaceae
Description: bacterial LSU rRNA
Rfam family: Bacterial large subunit ribosomal RNA
Source: RNAcentral
CCUUGGCACUAGAAGCCGAAGAAGGACGUUACUAACGACGAUAUGCUUUGGGUAGCUGUAAGUAAGCGUUGAUCCAGAGAUUUCCGAAUGGGGGAACCCAACAUGAGUUAUGUCAUGUUAUCGACAUGUGAAUUCAUAGCAUGUCAGAAGGCAGACCCGGAGAACUGAAACAUCUUAGUACCCGGAGGAAGAGAAAGAAAAAUCGAUUCCCUGAGUAGCGGCGAGCGAAACGGGAAGAGCCCAAACCAACAAGCUUGCUUGUUGGGGUUGUAGGACACUCUAUACGGAGUUACAAAAGAACAUGUUAGACGAAUCAUCUGGAAAGAUGAAUCAAAGAAGGUAAUAAUCCUGUAGUCUAAAACAUAUUCUCUCUUGAGUGGAUCCUGAGUACGACGGAGCACGUGAAAUUCCGUCGGAAUCUAGGAGGACCAUCUCCUAAGGCUAAAUACUCUCUAGUGACCGAUAGUGAACCAGUACCGUGAGGGAAAGGUGAAAAGUACCCCGGAAGGGGAGUGAAAGAGAACUUGAAACCGUGUGCUUACAAGUAGUCAGAGCCCGUUUAUGGGUGAUGGCGUGCCUUUUGUAGAAUGAACCGGCGAGUUACGAUCUGAUGCAAGGUUAAGCAGCGAAUGUGGAGCCGUAGCGAAAGCGAGUCUGAAUAGGGCGUUGAGUAUUUGGUCGUAGACCCGAAACCAGGUGAUCUACCCUUGGUCAGGUUGAAGUUCAGGUAACACUGAAUGGAGGACCGAACCGACUUACGUUGAAAAGUGAGCGGAUGAACUGAGGGUAGCGGAGAAAUUCCAAUCGAACUUGGAGAUAGCUGGUUCUCUCCGAAAUAGCUUU